Neodiprion fabricii is the source of this 528-nucleotide long non-coding RNA. RefSeq lists it as uncharacterized. The transcript has 3 exons. Lineage: Eukaryota; Metazoa; Arthropoda; Insecta; Hymenoptera; Diprionidae. The record is from RefSeq and is a predicted model, not a curated record.
GCACAGGUAGAUCCUGACAUUGCAGCAAUUGUGCCGCAUUUAAUGACUCUUGCCCCGACCGAGUUCAGUUCCAAUAUUAUUCCGGAGGAGCAAGCAAUAGCCAUGGGUAGCGUUCCGGAGAAUGACGAUAAUUCACUUUUUGAAUUUCAAGAUGUCGAAUACUUAUUAGAUGCGUCAAUUGAUAGAUCACCGACAGAGCCUACUCCAAGCUGAUCAUCAGGAAUACCGGUGCAGACUUGCAAAAAAAUGCGUGUGGCGGCAAAGCGAACUCGGUCAGAAUCAUCGAGCGAAUCAUCAUUGUCAGAGACUAGACGCUCUCUCAGCUGAGGACAGAGAGCUUUUUGAGAUGAAGAAAUACCAUGAGCAAAGAAUAUCAAGAUUGAUGGAAGGUAACGAAAACGAUAUUCAUCUGCUGAAAGUUCAACACCUUUUACGAAUCCAAGAAUUUGAAAUCAGGAAAGCCACAGCAGAAGCGAAAUUGGCUGAAUUCAAACUUGCGCGUGAAAGGGACAACCUUUGGUCUUCAAU